This 247-nucleotide ribosomal RNA is filed under the name uncultured bacterium. RNAcentral's name for it is "partial 16S ribosomal RNA". It matches the Rfam family "Bacterial small subunit ribosomal RNA", at positions 523 to 769 of the family's 1533-position model. The record is from RNAcentral.
AUACGGAGGGUGCGAGCGUUGUUCGGAAUUAUUGGGCGUAAAGCGCGUGUAGGCGGCUGUUUAAGUCUGAUGUGAAAGCCCUGGGCUCAACCCGGGAAGUGCAUUGGAUACUGGCAGACUUGAAUACGGGAGAGGGCAGUGGAAUUCCUGGUGUAGGAGUGAAAUCCGUAGAUAUCAGGAGGAACACCGGUGGCGAAGGCGGCUGCCUGGACCGAUAUUGACGCUGAGACGCGAAAGCGUGGGUAGC